AUUGAACGCUGGCGGCAUGGCUAAAGCAUGCAAGUCGAACGAACCCGCAAGGGUGAGUGGCGAAAGGGUCAGUAACAACGUCGAACGUACCCCGAGGUGUGGGAUAGGCGUGGGAAACUGCGCGUAAUACCACAUGAUCUCCCCGGAGCAAAGGUUUACCGCCUUGGGAUCGGCGAUGUUCCUAUCAGCUAGUUGGCGGGGUAAAGGCCCACCAAGGCGAUGACGGGUAGCAGGUGUGAGAGCACGACCUGCGACAUCGGGACUGAGACACUGCCGGACUCCUACGGGAGGCUGCAGCGACGAAUCUUCCGCAAUGGGCGCAAGCCUGACGGAGCAAUGCCGCGUGUGGGAUGAAG
RNAcentral lists this ribosomal RNA (356 nucleotides) under uncultured bacterium. Its description in RNAcentral is "bacterial SSU rRNA". It matches the Rfam family "Bacterial small subunit ribosomal RNA", at positions 29 to 413 of the family's 1533-position model. The record is from RNAcentral.